Long non-coding RNA from Micropterus dolomieu (smallmouth bass), 2097 nucleotides. RefSeq lists it as uncharacterized. The transcript has 2 exons. The record is from RefSeq and is a predicted model, not a curated record. Lineage: Eukaryota; Metazoa; Chordata; Actinopteri; Centrarchiformes; Centrarchidae.
UUCUAUUCCCAGUAAUUAUCCCUCUAUUCCCAGUGAAUGCAUCACACUGACAGUUAUUAUCCUUCUAUUCCCAGUAAUUAUCUCUCUAUUCCCAGUGAAUGCAUCACACUGACAGUUAUUAUCCUUCUAUUCCCAGUAAUUAUCUCUCUAUUCCCAGUGAAUGCAUCACACUGCCAGUUAUUAUCCUUCUAUUCCCAGUAAUUAUCUCUCUAUUCCCAGUGAAUGCAUCACACUGCCAGUUAUUAUCCUUCUAUUCCCAGUAAUUAUCCCUCUAUUCCCAGUGAAUGCACCACACUGACAGUUAUUAUCCUUCUAUUCCCAGUAAUUAUCUCUCUAUUCCCAGUGAAUGCACCACACUGACAGUUAUUAUCCUUCUAUUCCCAGUAAUUAUCCCUCUAUUCCCAGUGAAUGCACCACACUGACAGUUAUUAUCCUUCUAUUCCCAGUAAUUAUCCCUCUAUUCCCAGUGAAUGCACCACACUGACAGUUAUUAUCCUUCUAUUCCCAGUAAUUAUCUCUCUAUUCCCAGUGAAUGCACCACACUGACAGUUAUUAUCCUUCUAUUCCCAGUAAUCCGGUUCAGACCUGCUCUAUAUUGUAUAUCUAUAUUGUCUUAAAGUCUAGGGGUAUCCUGGACAUUACAGAAAUUGGGGGCUUGUCCGUUCUUCAAUAUGAAAAGUGACAUGAGGUAACUUCUGUUAUGAAUUUAACUGAAUCACCUUUAUCCAGAGAUUUCUCCAGCACCAUGCUGGUUGGUCGGCCGUACUCAAAGGUGAUGAUGAUGUCAUCAACCACCUCCAGACUCUUGUUCCAGGACAGGGUGAUGUUGGCCAAUAAGGGCUCAGGAUACCUGGACCAUGUGACGGUCUGCCAAUAGGUGAUGAGCCCCCCCCUCUCCCUAUCUCCCAUUAGCUGAGGAGGGUGAGACAGGUCGGGGCUGGACGCGUCACACUCAUCGCUGCACAGCAGAGCGGACUGACGUCUAACAGGAGAGUGUGAAGACCUCAUCCUGAACUACACUGCGCGGAAACUCCCCCAACAACAACCGUAAAGAUCUGAUGGUCACUUCACUGGAACAUGCAGAUUCUCUGUAAAUUAUCACAUACUUUGUUCUUUUCUUGUUUUCAAAACCAGUUGUUGGGAACUGGAGGAGGUGGUCUCACAGUUGGUUCCUUGCGGUACUUCAUUCAAAUGAUUAAAUUAAAAAUGUUCGGAGAGAAAGUGUGCUGACCUUUUCAGCCUGAGACGACCAGAAGCUUUAAUAUCUACAAACACGUGUUUCCCCGUGUGCGUUCAGGUGUGUGUGACUCACCAGUGUGCAGAACCUCUCAGGUGGAUUUCCACAGGUGAUGCCAGGGGGGUCGACUCUGAUCUGCAUCACCUCCUUCAUGUUGGCAGCGGGGGGCUGACAGGAGUAAAACUCCCACCCCGGCCCCGCCUCUGAGCCGCGCAGAGACCGACACACGUCAAACUGACCGCCGGUCUGACACCUGCCCAGCGACGGCAGGACGAGCAGGAGGGGGAGGAGGUGGGGCAGGAGGUGAGACAUGGUGGACUGACAGUCAGACAGACAGGAAGUUCCUCAGAAGGACACAUCUCAAAGUCAACUCCCACAUUUUUAAAUCCGCAGGUUCAGUUCUGCUCGACCGGCUUCAAACAGGUGGUUGUCAUGGUUAACAGGUGGUUAUCUUGUGGUUGCCAUGGUUGCUGGGUAAUACCUGAAGUUCAGUCAGACCUGUGGAAACAGUCCUGAAGAGGCUCCGCCCAUCGCUAACCUGCGGCAAAGCAGAAACGGCAAAACGAACUAAACUAAGAUCUGCUCCAGAGAGACCUGAGGAGAGCUGGACGUGAUUGGCUGAAUAGUUUCCUAAUUUAAAACCGUUGGGAGGACAUGAAGUCGUUCACCGUCAGUGUGACAUCAUCAGAUCUUUGAGUUCAGUCCAAACCAAAGAAGACUACAAAACCUUCAGCUAUCUACCCUGCGACCCACAGAGACCUGUCUGUCUCUCCGCCUGUCUGUCUUUGUGUGUCUCGGUGAGGAAGAUGAUUAAACUGAGACUCUGGCGCAUCUCUUCUUUAUUAAAACGUUUCUCUGCA